UUUAUUAGAAAGAAAAUGAAGCGGUUCUCACCCGACCUCCCAAACUAAGCACUUUCCUUUCAUCCAAGACUGCUUCAGCCCUGCCUGCAUGCAUGCAUCAGAAGUCACUCCUCAGGCUGCAUUCCCCAGUGACAGUAGGAGGGUCAGUUUUUUGCCUCUUUUCCCUCUUUGUCAAGAGUUAGUCCAAUGUUUGUUAACUGUUUUCAUGAUGAGUUAAUUUGACCUAAAAUGUUAAUAGAUUCUAAUAACUUAGUAUGUGGUUAGAUUUCAGUACGUAGUCUCAUGGGUCAUGGGAAGAGAGGAGAGAUCACAGAUAACGUAUAACAAGAUGUUUGUACUUGUUAGUGACUUAGAUAGACAUCAAUUUUCCAAGCUUCAGAUCAGUACUUACGAAGUUUCCUUAAUCAUCCUGUAGGGUAAAUGGUACUUUGGAAUUAAAAUAAUUUAGGAAGAUAAAAUUAAGCGAAGCAACAUAACACUGUUCUACUUGAAACAAAGACUCACUGAAUGAAAUCAUUCUCUUUAGGUAGAUUUAAAGAAGUGUAUGACUAUGGACUCAGAUAUAUACUGAUAGAGGUAUUUAAGAUUCUGUGGAUGAAUAAUUCAGAAACGUUCCAGUUGGAUGGACUGACUCAGGUCUCUCAUGAUGCUGCAGCCAAGGUGUUUGCAAGCAUUGCCAUAAACUGAAAACUUGACUGGGGCUAAAGAAUUUUCUUCUAUAAUGGCUCAUUCACGUGGCUGUUGGUGGGAGGCCUCAGUUUCUCACCAUGUGAACUUCUCCAUGGUGCUCCUUGGGUGUCUUCAUGACAAGGCAGUUGGCUUUCUCCUGAGCAAGUGAUCUAAGAGAGAGCGAGGAAGAAGCCUCAAUGCCUUUUAUGGCUUUGUCCCAAAAAUCAUGCAUUGUUACUUCUGCCACAUUCUAUUAACUAGAAGGUAGUCAGUAAGUACAGCCUACACUGUAGGAGGGAGACAUUAGGUUGCACUUUUUGAAGAGAAGAAUGCAUGGACAUAUUUUAAUAUCAGCACACGAUGAGUGCCUUCAAACCUCAGUAAAUUUCUGGCCCCUGUUUAAAAAAAAAAGGAGGGGCAGCUUACUCUGUAGAGUUUCAGUAAUAAAGCACUGGUUUCAACAACAAGGCAUUAGCAUGUGGGGGGCAUAAAAAAAGGAAAAUCAUUUCCAAAACUGAUGAUGGAAUGAAGCAAGUGAAACUGGAAAUGUAAAGAGGCACUUGCCUUGGAUGCAAGUUAAGGGGGUAAAAAAUGCAAAAUGGUUGUUUUGCAUUAAUUUUGCCUGAUUUAAAAAAUGUUGCAUUAGAAUAUUAUUUGUCCUCAUUACUGAGUUUUUACCCACCCCCCCACCCUUUACAGGUUGCACUUGAGACGAGUGCCUCACUUCCUUUGUUUGUAUCACCCUAGUCACACCCCGCUCUCUUUCUACUUUAUAUAUUGGUUGCUCAGGACAGUUAUUUCUAGCUUUCUGAAAUUAGUAGAUCAACAGUAUGCUGGAAGCAGACUAGGAGUAGCACAGAAUAGUGGGAAACUGCCUGGCUUGAUGUAAGGUGGCUUGGGUACCAGUCAAGUCUUCUCUAAUUAGCUGUGGAACUUUAAUAAUAUCAUUUCACCUAAAAGUGUCUCAGUUUCUUGGUGAUAAAUUUGAAGAGGCCAAACUAGAUAUUUUCUAAGGCCCAGUAAAGGCUUAACAUUUUAACAGCAUAUAGCCUUAGAGUACCAGAUGAUGUUUUCCCUUCCCUUACAUCCGUCAUCUGUAGCUAGAGACCUGAAAUCCAUUACUCUUCAGAGUAAAGCUAAUGCCUUUCUUAUGUGCUUGUUGUUUUUAAUUUUAAUUUGGAAUUAUGCUUUUUGCAAUCAUUUGCCCAAUCUCACUCUGGGGUAGUCAUCAGGGCAUGAUGCAGCAUUGGUAUCAUUUUCUAUUUUCAUUAAGGUGCCCUGAGGACUUCCAGCAUUAGAUGCCAACAAAUUUAAAUUAUUAAUUUUAUUACAACAAGAGUUCUAUAACAGCAGAGUUACUGAAUGCUUUCUAAAUUGGUUUUUAACUAGAAAAAUAAAGAGAUAGAAUAUGGACACUUGGGAAAUAAUAAGAAAAGUGAGACAGCGCUGCUAUUGAUUUAAAGUCAGGUAAGGGGAUAUUUCUUUUAAGUUCAAUAUUCACAAAUCAUUGGACUUGGAUAAGAUACUAAUGAGAGUACUGAACAGCCUCAUAGGUAUGAAAUAAUGAAGAAAUCAAGUAAUAAACCCAAAAACUGUGGUACUGACAUGUAAGAAUGUAAAAACUGAUCUCACUAAUUGAUAUUCUUUUAAUUGAUUCCACUUCUUAAUUAAAAAACUGUAUUUUUAAUAUGCCUAGUUAAAAGCCUACUGUAAGCAGCAGAUAUAUAAUCAGAGACAAGGGGUGAAUUUUCCAUUUCUGAAUGAUCUUGGGUAAAUCACAAAAAUCAAUUUAAAACUGUCUUCGCCUGAAAAAUGGGGACAUUAACACCCCCACACAGGGAUUUUCUAUGUGUGGCUCAAAUAAGGUAUUGUGCAUAGAAGCAAUUUGUAAACUGUAAAAUACUCUGUACAUAUGAAGAAUUUAUAAAUUUAUAGAUAUUUGUCACUUCCAAUUAAUAUUACUGGGAGUCUUCUGAUGAUAUUAGGGAUGAAAGAACAGUGGAAUUCUAAGGUGACUGUAUCCAUCCAGUGACUCAGACCUGACCCUGAAAAAUACAGGCGUACAUAAAUUUCACACCUCAGAGUGAUGGCCUUUGUAAUAAAUUAUAGUAUCCCAGAA
Non-coding RNA from Macaca mulatta (Rhesus monkey), 2788 nucleotides. The record is from RefSeq and is a predicted model, not a curated record. Lineage: Eukaryota; Metazoa; Chordata; Mammalia; Primates; Cercopithecidae.